RNAcentral lists this small RNA (117 nucleotides) under Marmota monax (woodchuck). Lineage: Eukaryota; Metazoa; Chordata; Mammalia; Rodentia; Sciuridae. The record is from RNAcentral.
GUCAGGCAUGUGGCAUGUGCAUGUAGUCCCAGCUACUUGGGAGACUGAGGCAGGAAGUUCACUUAAGCCCAGGAUUUUGAUACCGGCCUGAGCAAUGUAGUGAGAACCCCACCUCAA